UUGAAUUCAGAAUCCCCCAAUUCUCCUCUCAAAAAAUCUCGCAUGAUUGUCAUGUUCUCUCAUUUUUUCAAAUGAAUUUAAAGCUAGUGAAUAUAUGAGGCUAUAAUUUUAGAUAAAAGCACAAAGCUUUACUGGUAAAAGAUGUUAAUUCUUGCCACUAAGCCAUUUUAUGUAGGUUCCUGCAUAUCCAGUCACAAAGAUGCACCUAUUGCUAUGUUAGAGUUUAAAAGAUUUCAUACACUGUUACAAAGUAUGAACUAAAUAUGUCUGCAAUACCUUGUGAAGUAACACUCACUUAUUCAUGUUUGUUUGUUUGUUUGUUUUUAUUUCGCUGUAUUUUAUUUUAUUUUAUUAUUGCUUUCCCAUAUCUCUUUGUAUUUCAAUAAGAAAGAGAAAGACAGAGUGAGGAAUCAGAAGGGUUAGAUGCUAGGGAGGAUCUAGGAAAACAUAUUGUAUGAAAAUUUUUAUAAUAAAAAAUGUCUUCUGUAAGUUUACUCUAAAUAAAUCUAUAGGACAUCAUUUUGAUUAAUGAUUGCUUUGUUACUGCCUCCCCCUGGUAUUGGGCCAACUCUAGAAACCAUAGUCCUGGGUUGUAUUUAAAAGCAGGGUGAGGACGUGGGCAAGCACCAGCACCAUCACUCUAGGGUCUCUGCUUCAGAUCCUGCCUUCAGAUUUAUGCCUUAAAUUCCUGCCCAGACAUGCCUCAUUAAUGGACUUUGACAAAGAGUUGUCAGAAGAAAUAAAUUCUUUCCACUCAUGAAAAAGAAAUCUAAAAAAGAAAAGAAAAGAAGAGAAAAUAAAAGAAAAAAAAGAAAAAAGAAUGCAGGAGAUAAUUUUAAGUUCAGCCAAAAAUGGCACAUUUACAUUACUCCCCCAAGCACCAAGAAUCAAUGACAUUGCUGAUGAAAAGGCAAACAGAUUUCUAGAAACUGCAACAUGUGUGAAGUUUUAUGAAACACAGUCUUCAGGGUGUCAGAACUAUGGACUGACAGCAGCUAUGGGUACUUGAGAUGACCUACAGGAGAUCCAGCCCCAAUCUGACAUAGAGGAUAUAGAUUAUCUCCAUCCCCAUCCCCCCAUAAUGAGGAAGUAUUAGCCAUUGAAAGUUACUGCAGGGCUCAGUUACUUUUUUUUUUUCUUUUGAGUAACUAACAGAUAGGUUAGUAUUCUCCUGCUCCAGUGGAUGGCCUACCACACAUAAAUUUAUGGGCAGAACCAGCUGGACUUUAUAG
Molecule: long non-coding RNA, 1232 nt
Filed under: Mus musculus (house mouse)
Lineage: Eukaryota; Metazoa; Chordata; Mammalia; Rodentia; Muridae
Description: long non-coding RNA chr14:111732062-111733294
Source: RNAcentral